UACAGAGGUCUCAAGCGUUGUUCGGAUUCAUUGGGCGUAAAGGGUGCGUAGGCGGCGCGGUAAGUCGGGUGUGAAGUCUCGGGGCUUAACUCCGAAACUGCAUUCGAUACUGCCGUGCUUGAGGACUGGAGAGGAGACUGGAAUUUACGGUGUAGCGGUGAAAUGCGUAGAUAUCGUAAGGAAGACCAGUGGCGAAGGCGGGUCUCUGGACAGUUCCUGACGCUGAGGCACGAAGGCCAGGGGAGCAAACGGG
Molecule: ribosomal RNA, 253 nt
Filed under: uncultured bacterium
Lineage: Bacteria
Description: partial 16S ribosomal RNA
Rfam family: Bacterial small subunit ribosomal RNA
Source: RNAcentral